CCAGAACGUUGACCCUAAUGCUAAGGACGACACGUACACAGCUCUUGACCCCGUGUCCAGGUCCUCUGAUGAUGUGUACAACACACUCACAACUGUUCAUUCCAGUCCUUCUGAUGAUCUGUACUCAGCUCUGGAUCCUCAGUCUCGCUCUCCUGAGUACGACACUCUAGCAACUGUCAGAAACCAACACUGAAACCAUCACCAUGGAAACCACUCAAACUGAAGAGAACCACCCAUUGAAGUCAGAUAAGAGAGAGAGAGAGAGAGAGAGAGAGAGAGAGAGAGGUUGAGUGAUGUAUUCAGUACUGAACUGUUUAAAGGUCUCAUAUCUUACAUUCUCUUAUAUUUAAUUUUUUCCACUCAUAAUAUUUGUGUGGUCUGUUUUUUUAUUAUGCCUAUUUAUUUUUUUGAGCAAUGCAUCCAAAAUCUCAGAAAGGUGUAGAAAAAAUCUGUACAGUAAACAUUUUCAGAUUAUAGACAAAACACAGUGAUCUAUCUGCAGCCUAUUAGCGCUACAAAGUGUACAGAUACAGUCAUGUGCAAAAGUUUGAACCUCCCAGUCAAACGACAUGUUUAGGUGAUUUUCUAAGGGAACAAAACUAAAUAUGGCGUUUUUCUUUUUUUCUUGAGUCUCUGACCCUUUAGUCUCAA
This is a long non-coding RNA of Colossoma macropomum (tambaqui), 651 nucleotides long. RefSeq lists it as uncharacterized. NCBI's taxonomy places the organism in Eukaryota, Metazoa, Chordata, Actinopteri, Characiformes, Serrasalmidae. The record is from RefSeq and is a predicted model, not a curated record. The transcript has 3 exons.